AUCAAAAACAGCUCCAGAAAGACUACCCGGAUACAGUGCAUUCAGAAACCAAAAUUCAAAAAUCACUACCAUUUUGAGAUCCAAAAUUCAACACCAAAUAACACUUUUUGUAAGUUUCUAAGAACCAGGAUGAAUCUUCAUAAUGACUUAAAACUUCAGAGUUCCAAUUUUAAAACCCACACCCCUAAUCGCAAGGGACAAUGAUCCAUACCAUUGAUAUCAGGCAGAACUAAAAACAGAAAAGAAAAAAGUAUGAUCACACUCAAAAUCCAUUCCAAAGCAACCACACUAAUUUACAACAGCUAUUAUAUCAUCAGACUAAGCCUUUAAUGAAUUAGUUAUUCCUUAUUGAGGUCCCCAGAACAGCAUAAAAUUAUCAAGAAGAAAUGACUGGAACCAGUAACAUCUAAAAGCACACCAAAUCCACUACCCAACAUAAAUUGGUUUGUCAGUAUCCAAAUUGCAGAGCGUAGAACAGAACAAGGGACAGAUAAUUGCGAACAUUUCCAUUGAAAUAGAACAAAACCCUAAAAACGAAACAGACCCUAAAGCAUAAUAGUUUUGGCAACAGGCAUGUGAUAUCUCAAUAAGUCCCAGCUCACACCAUAUAAACAUGGUACCAAGAUCAAAUGCUAUGAACUCUCUCACAGUAAGCAGCCCAUGCAUUAACAGAGACUUUUCCUUU
Molecule: long non-coding RNA, 685 nt
Filed under: Vigna radiata
Lineage: Eukaryota; Viridiplantae; Streptophyta; Magnoliopsida; Fabales; Fabaceae
Description: long non-coding RNA (VRAD_LNC002215)
Source: RNAcentral